Molecule: ribosomal RNA, 430 nt
Filed under: uncultured bacterium
Lineage: Bacteria
Description: bacterial SSU rRNA
Rfam family: Bacterial small subunit ribosomal RNA
Source: RNAcentral
GGGCCCGCACAAGCGGUGGAGCAUGUGGUUUAAUUCGAAGAUACGCGCAGAACCUUACCAACACUUGACAUGUUCGUCGCGACUCUAAGAGAUUAGAGUUUUCGGUUCGGCCGGACGAAACACAGGUGCGGCAUGGCUGUCGUCAGCUCGUGUCGUGAGAUGUUGGGUUAAGUCCCGCAACGAGCGCAACCCUCACUUUUAGUUGCCAUCAUUAAGUUGGGCACUCUGAAAGAACUGCCAGUGAUAAGCUGGAGGAAGGUGGGGAUGACGUCAAGUCCUCAUGGCCCUUACGUGUUGGGCUACACACGUGCUACAAUGGUAUCUACAACAGGAAGCAAGACUGCGAGGUCAAGCAAAUCCUUAAAAGAUACCUCAGUUCGGAUUGCACUCUGCAACUCGAGUGCAUGAAGCUGGAAUUACUAGUAAUCGU